Molecule: long non-coding RNA, 267 nt
Organism: Arabidopsis thaliana (thale cress)
Lineage: Eukaryota; Viridiplantae; Streptophyta; Magnoliopsida; Brassicales; Brassicaceae
Product: other RNA
Exons: 1
Source: RefSeq
UGGACUUGGCCUACAUACAUAUCGCCUCAGUGGGCCGCGUAGCACCUAAUCAUCUCUCACUACACUUUUUCAGCCAGACUCGAGAGUCUCUCUAACUCCGACCAAUCUGUUGCGUUGUGUUGGAUCCAAAUUGUGCUUGUCUCCAUUUCCGCUCCCAAUCCCAAGUUUGUUCUGUUGGAUGAUCAUAUCGAUGCAUUCUUGUACAAGUAAUUCAAUUCCCUUCCCUCUCGUCGUUCGAGUACUAAUCCUUUGACUUUCGCACCUGGA